Molecule: ribosomal RNA, 305 nt
Filed under: uncultured bacterium
Lineage: Bacteria
Description: bacterial SSU rRNA
Rfam family: Bacterial small subunit ribosomal RNA
Source: RNAcentral
UGAUGCCUACGGGGGGCAGCAGUGAGGAAUAUUGGUCAAUGGGCGGGAGCCUGAACCAGCCAAGUCGCGUGAGGGAAGACGGUCCUAUGGAUUGUAACCCUCUUUAGGCGGGGAGCAAUGACGGGCACGCGUGCCCGGAGGGAGAGUACCCGCAGAAUAAGCAUCGGCUAACUCCGUGCCAGCAGCCGCGGUAAUACGGAGGAUGCGAGCGUUAUCCGGAUUUAUUGGGUUUAAAGGGUGCGUUGGCGGAUUUUUAAGUCAGCGGUAAAAUGUCUGGGCUCAACCCGGGCCGGCCGUUGAAACUC